GAUGAGCUAAUUUGGCUGUCAUUGAAAAGUGAUCCUGAGACAAGGACUUGGAUGCAGGUCAGUAUUUUGGAAAAUAAUCUCAAGAUCUGAAGGGGAGGAGCAGGGAAUAUAAGACAAGGAUGAAGAGAGAGACAAAGAAGGGUAGCUGUGUGGGCAACCAGAGCUCAGUCUCCUUGGGAGACUUCAGUGUUAAGGGAAUUAUGACCCACUAACCAAUCUUCUUUUGAAGGAGCAAAAGCUUCAAGAGUGCCAGGCAAGCUCAUUCCAAUUAAUCACAGUGUAAUGAGUAUCCUAUCAGCCAUAGGUUAAUCACUGUAGUUAAAAGUUGCUCAGUGCAUCCUGUAACAGCCAUUUAAGAUAAAGUGCAUCUUGGUUUGUUUUUUUUUUUCCCCCUCUUGAGAAGAGAUGGAGUAGGUCUGUAUUUACUUAUCUGUUUCUGUUCUCUAACUGCCGCCUUAACUUUCCAUUUGCAUUCAGGAAUAACAAGAUUCCUCUUGUGUGAAACAUCACUGGAAAGGAAAUAACCCCAUAUAUCAGCUUAAUCUCUACAUACAAAUGAUGCAGUGUUUCGCAAAAUGGCAGAUCUGUAACCUGUUUAGAGUUGAAAGUUACAAGUGCUGUUAUUGACAGGCAAAGGGGAUACUGCCUAGAAUUCCAGAAGAACCUGCUACAGAACCAAUUCAGGAAAGAGUAUCAAAAAUAGCCCUGGGGAAAACAUUCACAUGGAAUGGACAAGAAGAUGCAUUUAUAAACCACAGUGACUCCACCUCACUAUUAUAACAUAGUGAGAAGAGCUCUGGGCCAUGUGAGUAUGGAAAGAACAUCAUUACAUGGAUCCAUUAUAUCUGUAAAAACAUGCUGAUUGGGCAGGAUGCGUACGAGUUUGCUAAUACACUGAAGGCUUUGAUAAGAACCAUGCUUCAUAGAAAGCAAGAGAUGAACCCUUACAAGAUUCAGGAAUCUAAUUUUAAUGGUUUCUAGAGAUCUAGUGGCCAGGAAUGUGCCU
Vicugna pacos (alpaca) is the source of this 1006-nucleotide non-coding RNA. Lineage: Eukaryota; Metazoa; Chordata; Mammalia; Artiodactyla; Camelidae. The record is from RefSeq and is a predicted model, not a curated record.